AUAUGUGCAAACUUGAAGCAAAAUAAGGAAUACAAAGUACAAAUAUUAAAAAUAACAAGGGAACCAAUAAAAAACCAACGAAAGAAUCAAAGCUCAAACUUGGUGUUGUUAGAGUAGUCCAGACACAAUGUUGCCAUAGUGGCUUUCGAGGGGGAUGCUCAUAUGACUUUUCUGUUUCAACGGUUGAGAUGGCAGCCAUAGCAGUAAGAUAUGGAGGCGGUGG
This 223-nucleotide long non-coding RNA is filed under the name Medicago truncatula (barrel medic). RNAcentral's name for it is "long non-coding RNA (MTRU_LNC003829)". Lineage: Eukaryota; Viridiplantae; Streptophyta; Magnoliopsida; Fabales; Fabaceae. The record is from RNAcentral.